Molecule: ribosomal RNA, 468 nt
Filed under: uncultured bacterium
Lineage: Bacteria
Description: partial 16S ribosomal RNA
Rfam family: Bacterial small subunit ribosomal RNA
Source: RNAcentral
GACGAACGCUGGCGGCGUGCUUAACACAUGCAAGUCGAACGGAAAGGCCCUGCUUUUGUGGGGUGCUCGAGUGGCGAACGGGUGAGUAACACGUGAGUAACCUGCCCUUGACUUUGGGAUAACUUCAGGAAACUGGGGCUAAUACCGGAUAGGAGCUCCUGCUGCAUGGUGGGGGUUGGAAAGUUUCGGCGGUUGGGGAUGGACUCGCGGCUUAUCAGCUUGUUGGUGGGGUAGUGGCUUACCAAGGCUUUGACGGGUAGCCGGCCUGAGAGGGUGACCGGCCACAUGGGGACUGAGAGACGGCCCAGACGCCUACGGGAGGCAGCAGUGGGGAAUAUUGCACAAUGGGCGGAAGCCUGAUGCAGCAACGCCGCGUGCGGGAUGACGGCCUUCGGGUUGUAAACCGCUUUCGCCGGUGACGAAGCGUGAGUGACGGUAAUGGGUAAAGAAGCACCGGCUAACUACGUG